This 238-nucleotide ribosomal RNA is filed under the name uncultured bacterium. RNAcentral's name for it is "partial 16S ribosomal RNA". It matches the Rfam family "Bacterial small subunit ribosomal RNA", at positions 96 to 334 of the family's 1533-position model. The record is from RNAcentral.
CGGCGGACGGGUGAGUAACGCGUGGGUAACCUGCCUCAUACAGGGGGAUAACAGUUGGAAACGGCUGCUAAUACCGCAUAAGCGCACAGUACCGCAUGGUACGGUGUGAAAAACUCCGGUGGUAUGAGAUGGACCCGCGUCUGAUUAGGUAGUUGGUGGGGUAACGGCCUACCAAGCCGACGAUCAGUAGCCGACCUGAGAGGGUGAUCGGCCACAUUGGGACUGAGACACGGCCCAG